This 577-nucleotide ribosomal RNA is filed under the name uncultured soil bacterium. RNAcentral describes it as "bacterial SSU rRNA". It matches the Rfam family "Bacterial small subunit ribosomal RNA", at positions 56 to 628 of the family's 1533-position model. The record is from RNAcentral.
UGCAAGUCGAGCGGANGAGGGGAGCUUGCUCCCUGAUUCAGCGGCGGACGGGUGAGUAAUGCCUAGGAAUCUGCCUGGUAGUGGGGGACAACGUUUCGAAAGGAACGCUAAUACCGCAUACGUCCUACGGGAAAAAGCAGGGGACCUUCGGGCCUUGCGCUAUCAGAUGAGCCUAGGUCGGAUUAGCUAGUUGGUGGGGUAAAGGCUCACCAAGGCGACGAUCCGUAACUAGUCUGAGAGGAUGAUCAGUCACACUGGAACUGAGACACGGUCCAGACUCCUACGGGAGGCAGCAGUGGGGAAUAUUGGACAAUGGGCGAAAGCCUGAUCCAGCCAUGCCGCGUGUGUGAAGAAGGUCUUCGGAUUGUAAAGCACUUUAAGUUGGGAGGAAGGGCAUUAACCUAAUACGUUAGUGUUUUGACGUUACCGACAGAAUAAGCACCGGCUAACUUCGUGCCAGCAGCCGCGGUAAUACGAAGGGUGCAAGCGUUAAUCGGAAUUACUGGGCGUAAAGCGCGCGUAGGUGGUUCAGCAAGUUGGAUGUGAAAGCCCCGGGCUCAACCUGGGAACUGCAUCC